GUGUCAGCAGCCGCGGUAAUACGUAGGUGGCAAGCGUUGUCCGGAAUUAUUGGGCGUAAAGCGCGCGCAGGCGGUCUCUUAAGUCUGAUGUGAAAUCUCGCGGCUCAACCGCGAGCGGCCAUUGGAAACUGGGAGACUUGAGUGCAGAAGAGGAGAGUGGAAUUCCAUGUGUAGCGGUGAAAUGCGUAGAUAUAUGGAGGAACACCAGUGGCGAAGGCGACUCUCUGGUCUGUAACUGACGCUGAGGCGCGAAAGCGUGGGGAGCAAACAGGAUUAGAAACCCCUGUAGUCC
This 292-nucleotide ribosomal RNA is filed under the name uncultured Anaerobacillus sp. RNAcentral's name for it is "partial 16S ribosomal RNA". It matches the Rfam family "Bacterial small subunit ribosomal RNA", at positions 505 to 796 of the family's 1533-position model. Lineage: Bacteria; Bacillati; Bacillota; Bacilli; Caryophanales; Bacillaceae. The record is from RNAcentral.